GGGAGCCAAUCUUGCCCGGUGGUAGGCACGGUCUUCAAAACCGCUGAACGGUUCUCUGGAUCGUUGGUCGGUUCGACUCCGACUGGUUCCCGCCA
Molecule: transfer RNA, 95 nt
Filed under: Paludibaculum fermentans
Lineage: Bacteria; Pseudomonadati; Acidobacteriota; Terriglobia; Bryobacterales; Bryobacteraceae
Also listed under: 1 other name
Description: tRNA-Sec
Rfam family: Selenocysteine transfer RNA
Source: RNAcentral